AGCGAACGCUGGCGGCAGGCCUAACACAUGCAAGUCGAACGAACCUUUCGGGGUUAGUGGCGGACGGGUGAGUAACACGGGGGAACGUGCCUGUAGGUUCGGAAUAACUCAGGGAAACUUGUGCUAAUACCGAAGGGGCCCUUCGGGGGAAAGAUUAAUCGCCGUUAGAGCGGCCCGCGUAUGAUUAGCUAGUUGGGUGAGGUAAUGGCUCACCAAGGCGACGAGCAGUAGCUGGUCUGAGAGGAUGAUCCGCCACAUUGGGACUGCGACACGGCCCACACUCCUACGGGAGGCAGCAGUGGGGAAUCUUGCGCAAUGGGCGAAAGCCUGACGCAGCCAUGCCGCGUGAAUGAUGAAGGUCUUAGGAUUGUAAAAUUCUUUCUCCGGGGACGAUAAUGACGGUACCCGGAGAAGAAGCCCCGGCUAACUUCGUG
RNAcentral lists this ribosomal RNA (434 nucleotides) under uncultured bacterium. RNAcentral's name for it is "partial 16S ribosomal RNA". It matches the Rfam family "Bacterial small subunit ribosomal RNA", at positions 29 to 507 of the family's 1533-position model. The record is from RNAcentral.